UAUAUGCCCCCAAAACACUAUUCACUUCAGUUUGUAGCUCAGGUACAGAUAUUUUUCGCCUGCCCUUCUGAAUGUCCGUUUGAGCUCAAAUUUGGCAGUCAUGCUCGGUUUUACUUAACGAAAGAAUUUUUAAUCUUUCAGUUUCGACCCCGUUUGGUCACCGAAAGCUCUACCGAACUGUAAUCGCUAGCUGAUAACAAUUCGAUUUUAUUCUCCACCUUCCGAGUGUCAGAAUGGGAUGAAACUUUAAUUCUAGCCUCACAAAAAUAAUUCUGACAUAUCCUCCAGUUUUCAUAAUUUUCUGACACUGUGCAUUUUCUACUAAUUUAUCUGCCCCGUCUCUCACAGAAAAUUAUAAAUCUUCUGUUUUCGCUCCGAUUUCAGCACAGGUCAUUUCCAACUUAUACUUUACACCCUUAAGUCCAACAAAAAUAGUAUCUCACACUUUUUAUUUAUAUUUAUUUUUAUAUUAAAAAUCGAGCAUACUACAUCCACCGUAACUUCAUAAUUUUAGAAGUUCGAUACCUUACAGGGAGUGACUGAGCUAAGAGCCGUAUGACAUUGAGAAAGACAUACUCUUAUUGGGAUUCUCUGUCAUAGCAUGUAUUUGGUACUACAUGUGCUGGGCGACCAAAUAAAGAAGAUGAGUGAAUAGAUCCCUGCUUUCUCAUCGUGUGAGUUCUUACGGAUAUUAUUUUUGAGACAAUGUCCUAUAUAUGUUAGAUACCCUUAGUGACUUUUGACUAUGUCAUUAAGUGAAAGAAUUGAUGUUGCUACUUUGGCAUGUUUCCUACGGCUAUGAGUGAUGCGACUUCAUGGGGCAGUGCUGGGAAAGCAAUCAAUUCUCAACUUAGUGGCAUGAGGGCUCAAGAAAGACUAGUUGAAUUACCUUUAGACACUUUGACUCAUUGUCGACAGGUUGUGUCACUUCAGGAUAGCGAAACAAUCAUGAGUAUUGUGUCAUAUUGUGCGCAGCAGAGGUUAGCAUGGCUCUUUGAGGGAUUAGAGAUGCU
RNAcentral lists this long non-coding RNA (1013 nucleotides) under Ananas comosus (pineapple). Its description in RNAcentral is "long non-coding RNA (ACOM_LNC042999)". The record is from RNAcentral. Lineage: Eukaryota; Viridiplantae; Streptophyta; Magnoliopsida; Poales; Bromeliaceae.